Molecule: long non-coding RNA, 3111 nt
Filed under: Sus scrofa (pig)
Lineage: Eukaryota; Metazoa; Chordata; Mammalia; Artiodactyla; Suidae
Description: lncRNA (ENSSSCG00055006256.1)
Source: RNAcentral
GGGCUGGGCUGCCGCACGAGUGGCCUGCCGGGUGCGGGGGAAAAUGUUCGAGCGCGAGCCCCCGCGGGGCCAAUGGGGAGACGGAGGGCAGAAACGGGGGCCGUUGGAGCCAGCCUAAGCUUGGGUGUAAGCUCUGUCACUCAGAGCUCGGGACUAGGCGCUUUUGGGUGCAAAACGAGUGGCCCACACAACUCCCUGGCUAGAAGAGGCCCGAGUCUGGGAGGGGAGAGAUUUGGAGAAACCGAAUCUCAACUCCAUGAAGUCAGUGACGUGUCUCUUCUCUGCUGUACUCCGGGUGCCUGAAAUGUGCCUGGCAGGAAACUUUCAUUUUGGCCACAUAUGUACCUGUGUGCAGGCAUGUGUGCUUCUGUGAGCAUGCCCUGGAUCUCAAUGCCAAGGAUUUAUGGGAACCAGGGAAGGUCUUCCCACUUGGCUGUAUUAACUACAGGAGGAUCGACCUUCAUGUGAGCACAGCCUGUCCCACCAAACUGGGGCCACAGGUGCCUACUCCAGGAAGCUAAAGAUGGUGGUUUGAGAGCACAGACCCUGGGCUCAGUCAUGGAUCAAAGCUCUGAUUCUCAUCAGCUGCAUAACCCCUUGGAACCUUCUGUGGCCUCUCUGAGCCUCGUGUCUUCAUCUGGAAAGGAGUCAGCUGCAAUGAUACCUGUCUUUGGGACUGCUGAGUGGUUAAGCAAACGAAAGAACUAAAGCAUUAGAAUGAUGACAAAGAAAGAAGAAAAAAAUUCAGGAUGUGGCAUGUGUGGACAAUCCAGGCAUAGAUGGCCAUUGUUCUAGGAGGACACGUCGGGAAUGAACCAAGGGGACUAUUUCCUUUUGCCACCAGGCGCGAGCCCAGGGUGAAGGGGGAUCUUCUAAAGGACCCAGCCCUACACUGCCGACUCCAGGACCCAAGCCCACAAUGCAGUAUGAUCCUGUUUAAAGAACCACCACAGGAAGCCCAAUUCUGACUUAACCAGAAAACUGAACACAGAGAGCAGACCACAGUCCUACGGCUCUUAGGAAGAGAGAGACAUCUGCUGUCCAAGAUUAAGGUGUUUGUAAGCUGUUUGCACAGCCUGGGAAGACAUGAGGCUGGGCACCGGCUGGGGAAGGCUUGGGACAGCAGCCCUCCUGGCCUGAAGUUAAACUUUGGCUAUGAGGAGAUGAGUCUGGCAGGUGCACAGGGAGUUCCCCCUCCAGACGGGGUGGCGAGGACCCAAGAGAAGAGAGGAGAGAAAGGUGGGAGGGUAGGACUAUCUGGGCCUUAUCUUCUUCCUGGGACUUUCUAAGAAGUGGGGGGGACCUGGGAUUUUCUGAGAUUUUUCAAGGAUAUGGAGGACCCUGGAGGCUUGGGAUGCAAACUGUCAUAAGCCAGGCUUUCAGCUUCCUGUGACUCGCUCUGUUCCCUGUUCAUGAUUUAACAUCCUUUGUAAAGCCUUGUACGCAUGGUUCAGCUGACUUACAGCUUGGGAGGUUUUGUGUAUGUGUGUUGCAGGGGUCGGAAUUUGUUUUCCAAGAGUUCCCAGAACCUCACUUUUCCAGCAUGCCAUCAGUGGUACCAGACAAGAGAUUCACAAGGAAAAAGAAAAUUUCAACAGAGCAACAACUGUCAAGUUUCCAGGGCAAUCUCCACCUUCAUAGCCUUUGCUAUCAUGCAGAACCCGUGCCCAGAAACCUGGCCUUGACUGUGACCACAGCAUACACCAAAGGCACACAGGCACGCUGCCGUCAGGGAAAUGAAGACAGUGCAGUGUGGGGAGGUGUGCAUGAUUGAAGGCAGCUUCCCACAGCUGUGAGCCAGGUAACAAGCUCAGUGAAGGCGUUGUCACGCUUUCAAACGCCUGAAAAGAGGAGCAAAGAGACAACAGAGGAAGAUGUUUUUGGUGUGAUCAAAGGGCAGUCGGAUCACCCCAGGGAGGGAAGUGGUUGGCGUGCCGUGCAUGUGUGGAGGGAAGUGACAGGUGCAAAUACAGGAGGGCACCACACAUUUCCUUACCACCCAGAAACCCAUUAAGCAGGAGGCAGCUGGCCAGGGAGUCAGAGGGCUGAAUAGCCCACUGACCUCCAAAAAUUAGCCUCCUUCCAUUUCCAACUCUUAAGGUUCUAUUUGCUUGGCUUAGUUUAUAUCUAGGGAAUCUCCAAGACUCUUUCAAGAAGAGACUUUUGCAUCCCUGUUAUCUAGAAAAAGGGUGAUGUUUUCUGUCCACUCUCCCUGAAAUGCCAUCUCAGACAUUAAGUUAACUGUAGCAAAGGAACUUUCUAAAUCCUUAUCAAAGGACUAUGGUCACCUGAAUGAAACUGUCUGGGCAUUCAGGAGCAAAUGACACAUGUAGUCUUCGGAAAUUGUUUUGCAAGGAAUACAGGUUUAUAUUAAAGCUCUGAAGCAAGUACAAUAAACGCUCCACAUCAUCUUAGAGAAUGCUUGCAAGGAUGCAUUUCAUUGACAUAUUUAGAGCAAAUUAGUCUAUUUGACAUUGUUUCUCCAAAUUGCAUCAUAUCAUUGCUUCAUUAAGAAUGCUCCAAUUAAGGGAAAGAAAGAAGUUUCUGUAGGGUAGCUAUCUGUACACAUUAGUCUGAGGCUUUCAAAUUAGAGACCAAAUCACAGGUCCCCGUUACCAUGAGAACCAGAGUGUUUCUCCGGCUGUUAAAAUUAUUAACUCGAAGAACAUGCAUCUUCUUAAACUCUGCCUGUUAUUUAUCUACUGUUCCAUGGGCUUGACUGUGCCUAGAGUGAACUCUAUUAAUCAUCAGCUGAAAAAAAGUGCACGGGCUGCAGGAGAGAGCAGCCGUGCCUUUCUUCCUGUCGAGAGCGGCAAGCAAUGGCAAUCCAUUUCCCCAUGUUGCUCCAUCUCUCUUGGAGGAUAGAAGCGAGGGACUGAGAAGCCCUGGAGUGAAGACAGGCUGGAGAAGCCCGAGAUGAUGCCCAGAGAUGAGCAAGACCAGCUGGCAGUGGCGUUCACACGGUGUGCCACUGCAGGGACAGGCGACACUGAUGAGUGACCAGAGGCCUCUGUCCACUUGCCAGGUGACCCUGAGCUCCGGUCCAACUCCCCAUCUAAAAGUGAAGCCUCGUCACAGUGAAGGCCUAGUCACUUACACUGCAGAGAAUGC